This 1104-nucleotide ribosomal RNA is filed under the name Salmonella enterica. RNAcentral's name for it is "partial 23S ribosomal RNA". It matches the Rfam family "Bacterial large subunit ribosomal RNA", at positions 895 to 1895 of the family's 2925-position model. The record is from RNAcentral. Lineage: Bacteria; Pseudomonadati; Pseudomonadota; Gammaproteobacteria; Enterobacterales; Enterobacteriaceae.
UCCGGGGGUAGAGCACUGUUUCGGCUAGGGGGCCAUCCCGGCUUACCAACCCGAUGCAAACUGCGAAUACCGGAGAAUGUUAUCACGGGAGACACACGGCGGGUGCUAACGUCCGUCGUGAAGAGGGAAACAACCCAGACCGCCAGCUAAGGUCCCAAAGUCAUGGUUAAGUGGGAAACGAUGUGGGAAGGCCCAGACAGCCAGGAUGUUGGCUUAGAAGCAGCCAUCAUUUAAAGAAAGCGUAAUAGCUCACUGGUCGAGUCGGCCUGCGCGGAAGAUGUAACGGGGCUAAACCAUGCACCGAAGCUGCGGCAGCGAACGUAUCACCCAAGACAACUUUACGGAGUUGACGAUUGACGGAGCGAAGCGACGUCAAAGCGUUCAUUAAAGUCGAGUUGGCUUAGGGAUACGUUCGUUGGGUAGGGGAGCGUUCUGUAAGCCUGUGAAGGUGUGUCGUGAGGCAUGCUGGAGGUAUCAGAAGUGCGAAUGCUGACAUAAGUAACGAUAAAGCGGGUGAAAAGCCCGCUCGCCGGAAGACCAAGGGUUCCUGUCCAACGUUAAUCGGGGCAGGGUGAGUCGACCCCUAAGGCGAGGCCGAAAGGCGUAGUCGAUGGGAAACGGGUUAAUAUUCCCGUACUUGGUGUUACUGCGAAGGGGGGACGGAGAAGGCUAUGUUGGCCGGGCGACGGUUGUCCCGGUUUAAGCGUGUAGGUGUGUGUUCCAGGUAAAUCCGGUUCACUUUAACACUGAGGCGUGACGACGAGGCACUACGGUGCUGAAGCAACAAAUGCCCUGCUUCCAGGAAAAGCCUCUAAGCAUCAGGUAACACGAAAUCGUACCCCAAACCGACACAGGUGGUCAGGUAGAGAAUACCAAGGCGCUUGAGAGAACUCGGGUGAAGGAACUAGGCAAAAUGGUGCCGUAACUUCGGGAGAAGGCACGCUGACACGUAGGUGAAGUGAUUUACUCAUGGAGCUGAAGUCAGUCGAAGAUACCAGCUGGCUGCAACUGUUUAUUAAAAACACAGCACUGUGCAAACACGAAAGUGGACGUAUACGGUGUGACGCCUGCCCGGUGCCGGAAGGUUAAUUGAUGGGGUCAGCG